Molecule: long non-coding RNA, 429 nt
Filed under: Citrus maxima (pomelo)
Lineage: Eukaryota; Viridiplantae; Streptophyta; Magnoliopsida; Sapindales; Rutaceae
Description: long non-coding RNA (CMAX_LNC003128)
Source: RNAcentral
UGCUACAAACGAGCUUCUUCGUUCAAUGCAAGCUCCAUGCCGAUGCUCACAAAAGUGAAUGUAACAUGUACUGCUUGGACUGUAUGAAUGGUGCUCUCUGCUCGCUAUGUCUCUCACUUCAUAGAGACCACAGAGCAAUCCAGGUAACUAACCAAACAACAUUCGCUAAUUAAUGACUUUUAAUUUCAAUUAAUUUAUCAAAUUAAUGGGGUGGGGGGAUUUUAUGACAGAUAAGGAGAUCAUCAUACCACGAUGUGAUCAGGGUUUCGGAGAUUCAGAAGUACCUGGAUAUAACAGGAGUUCAAACGUAUAUCAUAAACAGCGCAAGAAUUGUCUUCUUGAACGAAAGACCUCAGCCCAGGCCUGGUAAAGGCGUCACAAAUACUUGUCUUGUUUGCGAACGCAGCCUCCUUGAUUCCUUCACUUUCU